GGGUCUCGUUUAACGCAACAAGUCAAUCAAAAAUCAAUUCCCUAGCUCUUUGAGAAACAACAACUGUUCAUAAAUAACAAGUUGAACUAAGCCACUCCAUCGAACAGCUAUGUCAAAUUCAAGGCAAAUUUAAAGAACACGGCGAUCUUUGAAAAUACGGAUACAUUAUUUCACCGCCGCUGAGCUGAACUCUCUAUACGUUGAGAAGACAAUCAAGAACUAAAGAAGCAAUAUGUUGAACUUGAACUGUAAGCUUGUUCUCAUACUAAUCGCCGUUCAAAUGGCUUUGGAAACGCAACAUGUAAGUGCAUGGAGAAGAAGAAGAACACCUGCAAAGACUUGUGGAUACUGCAAUAGCCUAACCUGUGCAGUGAGGUAUUCAAAACCAACUCCUCGAUGGCUGAUUUUUCGUGACUGCAGUACCUGCGGCUAUGGUUGCCAGUGUUAUUAUUCUCACCGUGCUUCUAGAAAUGGUCCUUUCGUAUAUCAAUGUAAAACCUAAAUUUCUUCCGUAACUUUCAAAACUUAUGGGAUUCUGAUGUCAAGAACGAAUUUAAGACCCUUAAGGAAGUAAAUGGUAAACAGAAAAUAAAAAAGGGAUUACUUGCUUAA
Long non-coding RNA from Actinia tenebrosa (Australian red waratah sea anemone), 612 nucleotides. RefSeq lists it as uncharacterized. The record is from RefSeq and is a predicted model, not a curated record. Lineage: Eukaryota; Metazoa; Cnidaria; Anthozoa; Actiniaria; Actiniidae.